CCAAUAGCGUAUAUUAAAGUUGUUGCAGUUAAAAAGCUCGUAGUUGAAUUUCGGGGUUAGUAGGUUGGUCAUGCCUCUGGUAUGUACUGGUCUCACUGAUUCCUCCUUCCUGAUGAACCGUAAUGCCAUUAAUUUGGUGUUGCGGGGAAUCUGGACUGUUACUUUGAAAAAAUUAGAGUGUUUAAAGCAGGCUAACGCUUGAAUACAUUAGCAUGGAAUAAUGAAAUAGGACGUUCGAUCCUAUUUUGUUGGUUUCUAGGAUUGACGUAAUGAUUAAUAGGGAUAGUUGGGGGCAUUAGUAUUCAAUUGUCAGAGGUGAAAUUCUUGGAUUUAUUGAAGACUAACUACUGCGAAAGCAUUUGCCAAGGAUGUUUUCAUUAAUCAAGAACGAAAGUUAGGGGAUCGAAGACGAUCAGAUACCGUCGUAGUCUUAACCAUAAACUAUGCCGACUAGGGAUCGGAUGAUGUUAAUUUUUUAAUGACUCAUUCGGCGCCUUACG
Molecule: ribosomal RNA, 500 nt
Filed under: uncultured Glomeromycotina
Lineage: Eukaryota; Fungi; Glomeromycota
Description: partial small subunit ribosomal RNA
Rfam family: Eukaryotic small subunit ribosomal RNA
Source: RNAcentral